RNAcentral lists this ribosomal RNA (1065 nucleotides) under Phyllognathia ceratophthalma. RNAcentral describes it as "eukaryotic LSU rRNA". It matches the Rfam family "Eukaryotic large subunit ribosomal RNA", at positions 329 to 1123 of the family's 3401-position model. The record is from RNAcentral. Lineage: Eukaryota; Metazoa; Arthropoda; Malacostraca; Decapoda; Palaemonidae.
CGAGACCGAUAGCAGACAGUACCGUGAGGGAAAGCUGAAAAGUACUCUGAAGAGAGGGUUAAUAGGACGUGAAACCACUAGAAGCUCUAAACGGGUGGAACCGUAAUCGGCGAAAGAGGGGAUUCAGCCGGUUGGUCUUGAGUGGCGAGGUGUAGUUGACUUGGCAUUAAUGUCACUUGCCAUGGCUCUGCACGUCGUCAACUCGAGGCCGGCCGGUUUACUUCUCCCUCUAGUAGCCCUCGUCGCGAGCCGCUGGGCGGACUCUGACGCUGCACCGGAUUGGUAGCCUGCCAUGCACUAGCGCAGGCGAUGACCGGUAGUCAUAGCAGUGUAGGGUUUGGCCGGCGGUCUCUCAGGGAGGCCACGCAAGUGGCCUCUCGCGAUGAGAACCGAUCUUGGUAAUCCACCUGACCCGUCUUGAAACACGGACCAAGGAGUCCAACAAUGGCGCGAGUCUAAGGGUUUUGAUUAGACCUGGAGGCGAAAUGAAAGUGAGUCCCCUUCUGGGGGCAGGCCGAUCCCCUGUCGGCUCAGAGCCCUGUCGUCGUUCUGGCUUCUUCAGCAAGUAGUUAGAACCGGCCGGCGGGUGCUCUGGACGAUGGCCGGUCCUUCGAAAGGGGGGCCGGAGAUGGGGCGCAGGCCGAGGACUUGCCAUUGUCUUGUGGUGCGGGCAACGGGAUUCCACCCACAGCUGGGUAGUUUCCUUAUCCCGAUUUCCACCGGCAAGUACCUGAGAGCGCCAACGUUGGGACCCGAAAGAUGGUGAACUAUGCCUGGCGAGGACGAAGCCAGAGGAAACUCUGGUGGAGGUCCGAAGCAGUUCUGACGUGCAAAUCGAUUGUCAGAGCUAGGUAUAGGGGCGAAAGACUAAUCGAACCAUCUAGUAGCUGGUUCCCUCCGAAGUUUCCCUCAGGAUAGCUGGCAUUCAUGAUGAUGAGUUUCAUCCGGUAAAGCGAAUGAUUAGAGGCCUUGGUGGUGCAAUGCCGUCAACCUAUUCUCAAACUUUAAAUGGGUGAGAUGUAGAGCUUGCUUAAUUGAAGCUCUAUGAUUCAGAAUCAGAAUGUC